GGGAGGCAGCAGUAAGGAAUAUUGGUCAAUGGACGCAAGUCUGAACCAGCCAAGCCGCGUGAAGGAUGAAGGUCCUCUGGAUUGUAAACUUCUUUUAUAGGGGACGAAAAAAGGGAAUUCUUUCUCACUUGACGGUACCCUAGGAAUAAGCACCGGCUAACUCCGUGCCAGCAGCCGCGGUAAUACGGAGGGUGCAAGCGUUAUCCGGAUUUACUGGGUUUAAAGGGUGCGUAGGUGGGUCUGUAAGUCAGUGGUGAAAUCUCCGGGCUUAACCCGGAAACUGCCAUUGAUACUAUAGGUCUUGAAUACUCUGGAGGUAAGCGGAAUAUGUCAUGUAGCGGUGAAAUGCUUAGAUAUGACAUAGAACACCAAUUGCGAAGGCAGCUUACUACGGAGUCAUUGACACUGAGGCACGAAAGCGUGGGGAUCAAACAGGAUUAGAUACCCUUGUAGUCC
RNAcentral lists this ribosomal RNA (456 nucleotides) under uncultured bacterium. RNAcentral describes it as "bacterial SSU rRNA". It matches the Rfam family "Bacterial small subunit ribosomal RNA", at positions 343 to 796 of the family's 1533-position model. The record is from RNAcentral.